GACGAACGCUGGCGGCGUGCUUAACACAUGCAAGUCGAACGCUGAAGCUUGGUGCUUGCUCUGGGUGGAUGAGUGGCGAACGGGUGAGUAAUACGUGAGUAACCUGCCUUUGACUCUGGGAUAAGCCUGGGAAACUGGGUCCAAUACUGGAUACGAUAUGUCACCGCAUGGUGGUGUGUGGAAAGGGUUUUAUUGGUUUUGGAUGGGCUCACGGCCUAUCAGCUUGUUGGGGGGGUAAUGGCUCACCAAGGCGACGACGGGUAGCCGGCCUGAGAGGGUGACCGGCCACACUGGGACUGAGACACGGCCCAGACUCCUACGGGAGGCAGCAGUGGGGAAUAUUGCACAAUGGGCGGAAGCCUGAUGCAGCGACGCCGCGUGAGGGAUGACGGCCUUCGGGUUGUAAACCUCUUUCAGCACGGAAGAAGCGAAAGUGACGGUACGUGCAGAAGAAGCGCCGGCUAACUACGUG
This 472-nucleotide ribosomal RNA is filed under the name uncultured bacterium. RNAcentral describes it as "partial 16S ribosomal RNA". It matches the Rfam family "Bacterial small subunit ribosomal RNA", at positions 28 to 507 of the family's 1533-position model. The record is from RNAcentral.